Homo sapiens (human) is the source of this 102-nucleotide small nucleolar RNA. It matches the Rfam family "Small nucleolar RNA U13". NCBI's taxonomy places the organism in Eukaryota, Metazoa, Chordata, Mammalia, Primates, Hominidae. The record is from Rfam.
AUCUUCUGUGGUUUCUAAGUGUGAUGAUUGGGUUUUCACACAGUUGUGUGAGGUGUGCCACCUUCAAACCUUGUUAUGACGUCGACACUUACCCAUCUGACA